RNAcentral lists this long non-coding RNA (527 nucleotides) under Ananas comosus (pineapple). RNAcentral's name for it is "long non-coding RNA (ACOM_LNC025426)". Lineage: Eukaryota; Viridiplantae; Streptophyta; Magnoliopsida; Poales; Bromeliaceae. The record is from RNAcentral.
UAAUUGUGUACACAGAUAGUUUUUUUUUUUUUUUAUCUAAGAGAAUUAGAUAGUUCUCUAUACCAAACAGGUCCUAAAACAUCAUUUCAAAGUUUAUCUGUUGAAAUCUUGUUAACUAUUUAAUGUUUUGUCAAUUUUAUAGUACUUGCUAGUAAAUUAAGUCGUUAUAUUUUAACCAAGUUUCUGACUCCAGUGACUGCAAUGAUACGAAUCAAACAAAUUGAAAGUUAAUGCAUAUCAUCAUUUUAACAAAUAUAUAUAUAUAUAUAUGGUCCACGAGUCUGUUUCGGAAUGGCCUAGAGUUAAGGGGUCUCCUUUAAUUUUUACCAUUAAUAUUUAUUGUAUACAACCCACUAUUCCUAGCGCAAGUGACAAAGGAUUGGUGGUUGGUAUUCGAGAUCCCAAAUUCGAAUCAUACUUGAUUUACAUUUCCAACUAAGCUUUUUUUUUAAAAAAAUAAACAAAACGAAUAACAUGCAAGCUUUCUCUCAAAAAAAAAAACAUUAAAAAAAAUUACUGUAUACAAA